AUGUUCUUAAGAUCUUUGAGAGGGAGAAAAUAAGCUCAUGCAGGUGUUGAGAGAAGUUCCGAGUAGGAUCUGUCUAACUACGGAUCUAUGGAGAGCAAUCACAAUCGAAGGCUAUCUCUGUCUUACUGCCCACUAGGUCGAUGUUGAAUGGAACCGUAGAGCGAAGAUCCUCUCCUUUUGCGCUUUCCCUCCACCCCAUUCUGGUCCGGCCAUUGCAAUGAAACUAUUGGACCUGAUUAAAGAGGGUUUGCAUAAGAAGGUCUUCACAAUUACCGUUGAUAAUGCUUCCUCCAAUGACAUCAUGCAAGGAGUUCUCAAGAGGCAUCUUAGAAAGGAUUUAGUUUGUAGUGGAGAGUUUUUUCACAUAAGGUGUGCUGCUCAUAUUCUGAACCUCAUUGUCCAAGAUGGAUUAGCUGUGAUAAGUGAGGCCUUGGAGAAGAUCAGGGACAGCGUUAAGUAUGUCAAGGUCAGUGAGUUUAGAGAGCUGUUGUUUCAAGGCUGCGCGGAGACUCUUGGGAUUGUUAAGAAAGGGGUUAGUUUUGGAUGUUACUACGCGGUGGAACUCAACCUAUCUGAUGUUGUCUAGGGCUCUUCACUACAAAGAGGCAUUUAAGAAUCUUGCAGAAAUCGAGACAAGUUACAAGAGCUACCUACAGAGUCUGAGUGGUUAAGAGCUGGGCUGAUUUGUGGUUUGUUACAGCCGUUUGAUGAGAUGACAAAGCUCAUUCCCGGCUCUUCUUACACUACAGAGAAUCUGUACUUCAUGGAAGUAUGGAAAAUUCAAAGUUGGUUGGGAUCAAAUGAGUUCCAUGAAGAUACGGUGAUUGCUGAUAUGGUGGCUUCCAUGAGGUUGAAAUUUGUUAAGUACUGGGAAGAGUACAGCGACAUUCUAGCCAUUGAAGCAGUGUUAGAUCCUAGGCUAAAGUUCAAGGUUUUGGAGUACUGCUACCACAGUUCAGAUCUAGCAACUUGUAAAUCCAGAACGGAUUACAUACGCAAAAGGAUGUUGAAGCUCUAUGGAGAUUACAAGAAGAAUACUAGUGCACAGAGUUCACAAGAAGUAGAAGCAGAUGCUCUACCUGCUGGUUAUGGUGUAAGUUAUUUAAAACUGAUGCUUUAGAUGUGUAUUUAAGUUAUCUACCAGAAACAGAUGAUUUAAUAAUCUCUUUCUUUGUAGGGCUUCUAUGAGUUCUUCUCUCAACAAGCAGGAACAAGGGAAUCUGCUUUGGAUUUGUAUCUGAGUGAACCUGUGCUUGAUAUGGUUGCAAAUAAAAAGUUAGAUGUCCUUAAGUAUUGGAGGGACAAUGCAAACAGGUUUAAGGAGCUGUCUCGAAUGGCCUGUGAUAUUCUCUGCGUCCCAAUAACAACAGUGUCGUCUGAGUCAUCCUUCAGUGUGGGAAGUCGGGUUCUUAGCAAGUACAUGAGCCGCCUUCUUCCAUCAAAUGUCCAAGCUUUGAUUUGUGCUAGAAACUGGCUUCGUGGUUUUGAAGUGAUUGGUGAGUUUGUUGAAUUUAUAAUUGAGCUUUUAUAUGUGAAAAUUAUUGAUUGAACUUCUUGUUUUUGAUAGCUGGACGCGAUUUAGAUGAGGAAGAUCAGGAAGAUGCCAAUGAGGAAGCAGAAGGAAAUGGAAGGAAGAAGAAGACCCGACACAAUUAAAGGUAUAAUCACUUAGAAAUUCUAGAAUCAUUAGGAGAGGAAAAUGAAUGAUAGGAUUUCAAUGUUUCAUUGCUUAACAUGGUUCAUUGCUUGAUGGUUAUCACUUAUGUUCUGUUGUUUGCUUAUAGUGAUGGGUUUGGUUCUGUUGUUUCUUGACUUAACAUGGUUCAUUGCUUAAUGGCUAUCACUUAGGUUAUGUUGUUUGCUUAAUGGUAAUAAGGUUGGGGUCUCUUGUGCAUGUUAAUCUCAUGCUGAUGGAGUGAGCUGAAUCAAAAGAUGUAUAAGGAAAUACUGAAGUUUAAUUAUGUAUGUAUGAACCUAAUCUAAUGUAUGUAUGAACCUAAUCUAUGCUUUGGAGUUUGAAUAAUGUAUGAACCUAAUCUAUGUAUGUAUGAACCUUAUUUAGGCCUUUGGAUGAUGUAUGAACUUUAUCUAUGUUUUUGAACUCCGCGAAACGUAAUGAAGUUAUGUUGCAUAUAAAUUUUUGUAUUUUAACACUGUUUUUUCUAAUUGGGCCUCGCGGAAUGUCCAUUUGGAAUAGUCCAAUUUGGUCUGGACAGUUUGGACUUGGUCCAAUUUGGGCUUAAAAAAAAAUAAUGUCCAAUAAAUUAGUUUGUCCAUUUAGACAUGCCCAUUAGACAUGGACAGCCAAUUUGAUAUCUCUAACUCCAGCUCAGCUAACCCAAUUGCUUCAAUGUGGAUUAGAUAGUUAGGAUAAAAUUCACUAAUCACAAUUAUCAUAAGUACUUAUUUAUUUUUUUAUAUUACAACAUUUACAAUUUUAUUUUUAUUCCAUAAUUAUUUAAUCUUGUCUAAAAUUCACUAAUCGCAAUUACAAAUUUACAUAGUUCUCUCAAACAAUUACACAGUUCCCUCGAACAAUAGUCAACACACAUAUAUAUAUAAAUAUAAUAAAGUGGGAAAAAAACAAAAUACUAAAAUUUAGUUUUAUUAAUUGUCUCUACUAUUUUUUUUAGUUAGAUUUUGAUUUGGAAAAACAUUAAUUAAAUAGAAAAAACAAAGAAUCCUAAAACGUAAGUUAACUAAUAAUUUCAAUGGCAUACUAUUGUAAAUAAGUUAAAAAAUUAAGGGAUAUUUUAUUUUUGUACUGUUUUUUAAUAAUAUAGAUAAAAAAAAACCUUUCAAUUGAAAAAUGCAUAAUAUUAUUAAAAAGUCACAAAGAGGAGGAGAAACCAUACCCUUAAUAGAAGACAAUGAUUUCAACAUUUACAAGCGAUUUUCCUCUGAAGUAGAAUCUUAACUCAAUCAUCCUCCAAAAUCCACCACAAGUAGAAUUGAUGGAACAAUAGCCUCACGAUUAGCCUGAUACUAGUGUCUAGCUUGGUAAGGUCUAUGUUAUAAUAUAGUUGUCAAUCUUUUUAAAAGUCAUAUUAUAAAAGUAUUUUAAUUUCACCCUCCAUUUAGAACAUGGGUUAGGAUUCAAAUCUGCAUAACAAAACAACAUAAUUUUAUACCUGCCAGUUUAUAUACAUCAUUCUAUAGAAUUUUAGUUUAUUUCUUAUUCUUACAAAUUUAUAUAGUUCUCUCAAACAAUAUCCUUUUUCAAAACUUCUAACAAGUUUUAAUCGACUGUCAAAAAGUACAUGAUAGAAAACGAAAUAAUUUUGUCAGUAAAAUUGUUCAUGCACCUGAAACCUUUAUAUGAUAGGGUAAAGAUCUUAAAACAUCAAUAGUAGCAAAUUUCUUAACUUGAGUUUCUAAACGUAAAUAUAUUAAUAUUUUACAAUAAUAAAACUGAAUAAUAAAAUUAAAAAAGUCUAAAGUGGAAUUGUGCGAAUGAAAAGAAGACAGCUGGCUUAAUGUUUUCUGAAGACAAUUGCAGAGUCCCAUUGGAGAGAGACGACGCUCGUUUGUUUCAUUCAUCUCUCUUACUAUUACAUACUAGGGGCGGAGCCUCCAGGCAAUCGAGGGUCGACGGAGUUGUUGCUCUGUCUCAAUGUGUGCAAGUGAAAUACUGUAUUUGUGAAGUUUACGUUUUGCUGUGGUCACUGAUUUACUUACACGCUUGCGCGCGGAUUCAGUUGUGUUGCUUAAUCCUUAUGGGUAUUGUCUACUAUUCUUGAAUUUUCCGUUUUAUUAAUGAUUUACAUUUAUAUUUUUUUUGUUUUUUUCUUUGUGUCUUUACGUUAGGUGUUUUGAUUUGUGUAUAUUCACGUUUUCUAUAAACUAUUGUUCUUCUUCCUAUCAUUACUUAUUUGGGAAAAUUGACUUUUUAAAUCUGAACUUUCAAAAAUAAGUAAAAAAAACCUUGAACUCAGCAUGCCAUUUAGUUCCUGAACUCUUAGAUAAACACGAAAAAAUCUUGAACAAUCAUUGACCAAGCCCUUUUAACACUCUAAUUAAUCUUCAGUUAAUUAAUAUUUAACAGACGUUAAAUCACUAAUCGAAGUCGCUUUGAUAAAAUGAAAAAUAUAAUCUAAACACGAAAAUUCCCCUUUUAUUUUCUUAAAUCCCUAAUUUUUCAUCUCUAUCUUCACAAACAUCUGUCGAGCUCAUUACCAAACAUUACCGAAAAAUCAACGCAACCGAUCUUAAAAUUCAUUACCAUAACACAAAGACAAAGCAUCCAAAACACCAUAGCCUAUAUCAUUACAACAAUGAGCUUUCGAUCUCUCUCAUGGCUUAAACUUCAUCCAUGGAUAUUGUAUGAGUUCAUACGCCCAUCCAAUGUUGUGGGUUUGAGGCCAGAGAAAGAUAGUAAGGAGAUACGUUGGUAAGAGCCAUGGUGAGAGAUGGCACGAGCAAGGAGGGCUUGAAAGAGAUGAAAAAUUAGGCAUUUAAGAAGAUGAAUUGGGACUUUUUCAUGUUUAGAUUAGGAUUUUCCGUUUUAUUAAAAUAAUGUCGUUUUCUGAUUUAACAACCGUUAAAAUAUUAAUUAACAAAAAAUUAAUUAGAAUGUUAAAAGGGUUUGGUUAACAAUUGUUCAAGAUUUUUUAGUGUUUGACUAAGUGUUCAUAAACUAAAUGACAUGUUUUGGAGAUAAAGGUUUUUUUUGGUUUAUUUUUGAAAUUUCAGAAUUAAUAAUUCAAUUUUUACUUAUUUGUAGUUCCACUUUAUUCGAAUUUGUAUAAUGAUUUUUUCAUUUUAUUUUUACUUUGGUGUAAUUUACAUUACCACUCAUCUGAGCGCAUAAUUUUUCUUUGAGUUUUCCCCCUUUUUUUUUCUCAUUUUAUUAAACAUAUGGAGAAGCCACUGUUUCUAAUUCAUAAUCCCAACGUUGCCCCUAUCUUUAGUCAUGCACCUAUCUCUGCACCUAUCUAUGACACGUAGGUUUGCUAAAGUCUACGCUGACAUUUGUAGCUACCCCAUCUCUCUUUCUCUCUGGUUCUCUCACUUCCUCACUCUUUCUUCUUCCUGCUUUUUUCUUCAGUCCUUCCUGAUUCUUUUUUUUCUGGACUAUUAUUCCUGAUUUUAUAAGUCUAUAUUCUCUUUGAUUUUAACAUAUUGUGUCAAUCUAAAAGGAGAGAAACAAUCAUCAUCCAUGGUGACUGGCAAUCUGAAAAAGAUAGCUUCCAUUGAUGCUCAGCACAUACUAAUUGCUCCUACCAAAGUCUCUGAAGAAGACAAGAUUGUUGAGUACGAUGCUUUAUUUAGGCAUCUCCUUUUUCUUGUAAUUAUUUAUCUCUCUUUCAGGGGUUGGAAAAAUCUCUGCAUUGAUCUUGUGUUACAGCAUCUGCCCAAACCUUUCAUUUUCUUUCACCGAUUACGCAAGCGAAAUCCCUUAAUUUCCAUAUACUAUUGUUUGUCAUUAUUCUGCAGAGGCAAUAAUGGCGAUGGAGAUCACUCAGUUUCUACUUGCUGCCCAGUCAGCCAAACUUGCAUAGUUUUUACUGUCUAUGUUUUUGGGCUUGCCAACAAUGAUCUUUCUAAUCCUGUCGACGAGCUGGUAUUUUACCCAACACAGCAAGAAGAUGAUCCGAGCAGGUCGGGGGGUCACGUCGGAUUCCCGAGAGGUUCAGAGCAAGCCUAGAUGGAGGGGGAGCUUGAAAAUGUUUUUGAUUCUUCCAUGUCUUUAAGUUCGAGUUACAAUGUGAAUGUUGUUUGGGAAGCUAGCGCGUCUUUAAGGUUGGGUUGCGGGGGGGGGGGGAGCUUGAAAAUGUUUUUGAUUCUUCCAUGUCUUUUCGAGUUUCAAAGUGAAUGUUGUUUGGGAAGGUAGCGUAUCUUUAAAAAAUGCUUGUGCUUCAAUUCAUAGUAUUUCCGAAUUAACUUUGUAACUAGAUCUCGAACCGCGCGGAUGUUUGAUUUCAAUUUUUUUAUUAA
This is a long non-coding RNA of Brassica napus (rape), 5937 nucleotides long. RefSeq lists it as uncharacterized. The transcript is spliced from 2 exons. NCBI's taxonomy places the organism in Eukaryota, Viridiplantae, Streptophyta, Magnoliopsida, Brassicales, Brassicaceae. The record is from RefSeq and is a predicted model, not a curated record.